GAGCGCGGUAAAGUUAGUUUUAGGUUUGAUAUUCGCUGGAUAUUCGCCUAGGCUUGCUUUAGGGACCGUCUGCAAAUAUACCUCUCAGUACAGAACGAAGUCCAAUAAUUAAUACAAAUUAUGUUUCCAACAUUACAGUAAAUGUCUUGUGGGCAAACUGACACAAAAUAUUUAGCCAAUAUGUCCCUACUAACAAUAUCUCCCUUACUGUAUAUAAUAAUUCUUUAAAAACAAUUACUGUAAAUCACCAAAAGGGUUUUUUCAUGUUCCAAAGGUUGUAGUAAGUUUGUAUUUACAAGACUGACUUACUACAGGUGAAAUUUUGACAAUAUCUCCCUUACUGUAUGUACAGUAUAUAAUAAUUAUUAAAAAAACAAUUACUGUAAAUCACCAAAAUGUUUUUUUUACUGUUCCAAAGGUUGUAGUACGUUUGUAGUUACAAGACUUACUUACUACAGGUGAAAUUUUGCCAUUAUCUCCCUUACUGUACGUACAGUACACACUCUUUUAAAAAACAAUUACUGUAAAUCACCAAAAUUGUUUUUUCCUGUUCCAAUGGUUGUAGUAAAUUUGUAUUUACAAGACUGAAAUACUACAGGUGAAUUUAUGCCAAUAUCUCCCUUACUGUACGUACAGUACAUAAUAAUUCUUUAAAAACAAUUACUGUAAAUCACCAAAAGGGUUUUUUCAUGUUCCAAAGGUUGUAGUAAGUUUGUAGUUACAAGACUUACUUACUACAGGUGAAAUUUUGCCAUUACCUCCCUUACUGUAUGUACAGUAUAUAAUAAUUAUUUAAAAACAAUUACUGUAAAUCACCAAAAGGUUUUUUUCAUGUUCCAAAGGUUGUAGUAAGUUUGUUUUUUCAAGACUGACUUACUACAGGUGAAUGUUUGCCAAUAUCUCCCUUACUGUACGUACAGUACAUAAUAAUUCUUUUUAAAAAAUACUGUAAAUUACCAAAAGGGUUUUUUCAUGUUACAAAGGUUGUAGUACACUUGUAGUUACAAGACUGACUUGCUACAGGUGAGAUUUUGCCAUUACCACACUUACUCUAUAUACUGUAUACUGUCUACUGGUCACUACUGAAUAUUUGUUUGGUAAAUACAUUAGCCACGAGUAGGUAUUGGAACUGCUGUUGUUUCUACAACAUAUUUUCUUAAUCGAUACAUAAAACAAAAACAAUACACAAAAGAUUAUUUUUUUAAUUCAAAAAUUAAAACACAUUCUCACCGUUAUAACAUCCUUUUCAAAUCUUAAAGUGCAAAAUGACACAUACUUUUUCACAAAGUUUAAGUUACCUUUCAAAUGUCAAUAUUGUAACACAUUACCAAUAUUUAAGUGGACUUUUUUUAAACUAGACACACAUUGUGCAAUACCACUGGGCAUCCUUUCCAAGUAUAUUGUCCUGAGACAGUCCAAGGCAGCAUGCAUGGAACCAU
Long non-coding RNA from Cyprinus carpio carpio, 1439 nucleotides. The record is from Ensembl. NCBI's taxonomy places the organism in Eukaryota, Metazoa, Chordata, Actinopteri, Cypriniformes, Cyprinidae.